AAAUUGAAGAGUUUGAUCAUGGCUCAGAUUGAACGCUGGCGGCAGGCUUAACACAUGCAAGUCGAGCGGUAGCACAGAGAGCUUGCUCUCGGGUGACGAGCGGCGGACGGGUGAGUAAUGUCUGGGAAACUGCCUGAUGGAGGGGGAUAACUACUGGAAACGGUAGCUAAUACCGCAUAAUGU
This 183-nucleotide ribosomal RNA is filed under the name Acinetobacter baumannii. RNAcentral's name for it is "partial 16S ribosomal RNA". It matches the Rfam family "Bacterial small subunit ribosomal RNA", at positions 1 to 179 of the family's 1533-position model. Lineage: Bacteria; Pseudomonadati; Pseudomonadota; Gammaproteobacteria; Moraxellales; Moraxellaceae. The record is from RNAcentral.